RNAcentral lists this long non-coding RNA (1354 nucleotides) under Anas platyrhynchos platyrhynchos (common mallard). RNAcentral describes it as "lncRNA (ENSAPLG00000029326.1)". The record is from RNAcentral. Lineage: Eukaryota; Metazoa; Chordata; Aves; Anseriformes; Anatidae.
AUGGCCAAUCCCUACUCCCACUGGUGGAAACAAUCCUGGAAAAAAAAACAAUUUCAAAAUUUCUAUGGGUUUUGGAUGACGGGACAACUUGGGCUGUCAGCCACAAUAGGUCUGCUUGAGACAGCUCAUGGGGUAGUAAGUUCUCUAAGGAAUAAAAAUGGUCAAACUGCCAGAAACUCCAUGAAUUUUUUGUUUUGUUUGUUUUUGUCCAAAGAACGCGUGUGCCUAUGGAUGUAUUGGAAAACAGAAGAGAGGGGCUUUUACCUAUUCCCACCUUUUCAGAGCUGUAACUUUAAGACACAUCAACCCUGUGGUGGUUUACACACAUUCACCAGCAGUCCUGAUCCACUGUGAAUCCAUUGUGCUAACCGUUUCCUGUAAGUCAGGUAUGAAAUCCAGUUGGAGACUUGCCCCUCAAGUCUACAUAGGACCAAGUUAGUUGAGAACGCAUUUAGUUGAGUCCCUUGUUAUCACUUUAAUACUGCUUUAGGGAAAGGAUAGAUAGAGGAUCAAAACAGAAUAGAAGACAGAGCAAGAAAGAAUAGAAAGUCAGUCUAGUUUCUUUAUUUUCCUUAUAAUGUGUCAUGUACUAUUCCACUUCUUGUUAAUUAGUUGAAUCUAUAAUCACCAUAUUAUGUUAGUGCCUAAUUACCUAUUUUGGUUCCAUUCUGUCUCAUUAGGCCAAUUUACUGUUCUACAUCUUUUUUUUUUUUUUCAAUAGUAAAAAAGAUGAUAAAAAUAACAUCAGAAACAUCUCCAAUGCUGCCUAUCAGACUCUUUCCACAACAAAAACACUGCAUACACAUUUCAUUUUGCAUGUCACAUUUAUUUCCUUCUGCAUUAUACUUGGAGCUGAUGGCUAUAUUCUGCUCUGAUGCAAAUGACACUGUGUGAUUUAGAAACAGCAGAAUUAGGAAACAAAUUCAAAACAAAACAGCUGGCUGAAGAUAGAUAGGGACUUAAGACAGAGUGAUCGGGUACAAAAUGUUUUAGAUUAAUGGUUUUGGAUUUCCCAGAAUCUCAGGAAAUAUUAUGAAUCCUCAAAUCUCAUGUUGCACCCACAUCACAACUGGUGCGGGUGAUAGGAAAUUUGGAUCGUGCUUCAGACAGCUAAAAUUUCAUGGACUUACUAAACCUUGCUGUAUUUCUUUAGCACUAAGCUCAAAAACAAUUUUGAGUUUUGGGUACAAAACACAAGAAUCUGAUACAAGAUCUUGAUUUGAUCUCAAGCUUGUUCCUACACCAACUUGCUAUAACCUUUGUUUAUGCCACAAAUGAAAUGUACUUUAAAAUAGCUUAGAUUUUUUUUUCCUGUGAUAUUUUACUGAUAUUUCUUUACACAUAUGGGUAUAAA